Molecule: ribosomal RNA, 253 nt
Filed under: uncultured bacterium
Lineage: Bacteria
Description: partial 16S ribosomal RNA
Rfam family: Bacterial small subunit ribosomal RNA
Source: RNAcentral
AACGUAGGUGGCGAGCGUUAUCCGGAUUUACUGGGCGUAAAGGGUGUGCAGGCUGCCCCUCAAGUGGUGUAUGAAAGGGCUCGGCUCAACCGGGCUAGGUUAUGCCAGACUGAGGGGCUAGAGAGCGAGAGCGGGACGUGGAAUUCCGGGUGUAGUGGUGAAAUGCGUAGAUAUCAAGAGGAACACCUGAGGUGAAGACGGGUUGCUGGGCUGACACUGACGCUGAGGCGCGAAAGCCAGGGGAGCAAACGGG